This 252-nucleotide ribosomal RNA is filed under the name uncultured bacterium. RNAcentral describes it as "partial 16S ribosomal RNA". It matches the Rfam family "Bacterial small subunit ribosomal RNA", at positions 524 to 775 of the family's 1533-position model. The record is from RNAcentral.
UACGUAGGGUGCAAGCGUUAAUCGGAAUUACUGGGCGUAAAGCGUGCGCAGGCGGUUUUGUAAGUCUGUCGUGAAAUCCCCGGGCUCAACCUGGGAAUUGCGAUGGAGACUGCAAGGCUAGAAUCUGGCAGAGGGGGGUAGAAUUCCACGUGUAGCAGUGAAAUGCGUAGAUAUAUGGAGGAAUACCGAUGGCGAAGGCAGCCCCCUGGGUCAAGAUUGACGCUCAUGCACGAAAGCGUGGGGAGCAACAGG